CAUUCCCCUAGUAACUGCGAGUGAAGCGGGAAAAGCUCAAAUUUAAAAUCUGGCGGUUAUGCCGUCCGAGUUGUAAUCUGGAGAAGCGUUUUCCGUGUUGGACCGUGUACAAGUCUCUUGGAACAGAGCGUCAUAGAGGGUGAGAAUCCCGUCUUUGACACGGACUACCAAUGCUUUGUGAUACGCUCUCAAAGAGUCGAGUUGUUUGGGAAUGCAGCUCAAAAUGGGUGGUAAAUGCCAUCUAAAGCUAAAUAUUGGCGAGAGACCGAUAGCGAACAAGUACCGUGAGGGAAAGAUGAAAAGCACUUUGGAAAGAGAGUUAAACAGUACGUGAAAUUGUUGAAAGGGAAACGCUUGAAGUCAGUCGCGUUGUCUGGGACUCAGCCUUGCUUCUGCAUGGUGUAUUUCCUGGUUAACGGGCCAACAUCGAUUUUGGUCGGUGGAUAAAGUCGAGAGGAAUGUGGCACCUUCGGGUGUGUUAUAGCCUCUUGUCGGAUGCAUCGACUGGGAUCGAGGAUCGCAGCACGCCUUUUUGGCCGGGGUUCGCCCACGUAACGUGCUUAGGAUGUUGGCAUAAUGGCUUUAAUCGACCCGUCUUGAAACACGGACCAAGGAGUCUAACAUGCCCGCGAGUGUUAGGGUGGAAAACCCUUGCGCGUAAUGAAAGUGAAAGUUGGGACCUCUGUCAUGGGGGGCACCGACGCCCGGCCUUGAACUUCUGUGACGGCGCCGCGGUAGAGCGUGUAUGUUGGGACCCGAAAGAUGGUGAACUAUGCCUGAAUAGGGCGAAGCCAGAGGAAACUCUGGUGGAGGCUCGUAGCGAUUCUGACGUGCAAAUCGAUCGUCAAAUUUGGGUAUAGGGGCGAAAGACUAAUCGAACC
This 881-nucleotide ribosomal RNA is filed under the name Rickenella fibula. RNAcentral describes it as "LSU rRNA". It matches the Rfam family "Eukaryotic large subunit ribosomal RNA", at positions 73 to 941 of the family's 3401-position model. The record is from RNAcentral. Lineage: Eukaryota; Fungi; Basidiomycota; Agaricomycetes; Hymenochaetales; Rickenellaceae.